UCAGACGAUGCGUCAUGCAUAUCAAUAAGCGGAGGAAAAGAAACUAACAAGGAUUCCCUUAGUAACGGCGAGUGAAGCGGGAAGAGCUCAAAUUUGAAAUCUUCAAGGUUUUACCUUGACGAAUUGUAGUUUAAAGAAGUGUUUUCUGUUGAAGUUUUGGUAAAAGUUCUUUGGAAUAGGACAUCAUAGAGGGUGAGAAUCCCGUAUUUGACCAUUAUUUUCAGCUGUGUGAUACACUUUCAAAGAGUCGGAUUGUUUGGGAAUGCAGUCCAAAAUGGGUGGUAAAUUUCAUCUAAAGCUAAAUAUUGGCGAGAGACCGAUAGCGAACAAGUACCGUGAGGGAAAGAUGAAAAGAACUUUGAAAAGAGAGUUAAACAGUACGUGAAAUUGUCAAAAGGGAAGCGUUUGACACCAGUGUUGUUUUCUCGAAAGUCAAUUAAAAAGAGUUAGAUUUUGUUGUGUAUUGACCUUAACAGCUUGCAUUUCAAUUUUCUUGCUUUUUUUAAUGCACUUUUCGUUUAACAAGUCAACAUCAGUUUCUUUUGUUGUAAAAAGGUCAUUGGAAGGUGGCUUUCUUUUCGGAGAAAGUGUUUAUAGCCUUUGACUCCUGCAAUCGGAGAGACUGAGGUCUGCAGCGUAGAUCCUUCGGGGUUAGAUACAUUUGUGCUAAGUUAUAGCUUUUUAUAGACAACUUGUUGACUAUGAUUAGUCUUGUAGCUUACUCGCUUAUGCUAUUUUACCUACGCUUAGGAUGUUGAGUCGUAGAGCACGCAG
RNAcentral lists this ribosomal RNA (774 nucleotides) under uncultured Neocallimastigales. Its description in RNAcentral is "partial large subunit ribosomal RNA". It matches the Rfam family "Eukaryotic large subunit ribosomal RNA", at positions 18 to 605 of the family's 3401-position model. Lineage: Eukaryota; Fungi; Neocallimastigomycota; Neocallimastigomycetes; Neocallimastigales. The record is from RNAcentral.